GAUCAGGUGGCCGAGUGGUUAAGGCGAUGGACUGCUAAUCCAUUGGGGUUUCCCCGCGUGAGUUCCGGUUAAGGCGAUGGACUGCUAACCUAAUGGGGUUUCCCCGCGUGAGUUCGAAACUCAUCCUGAUCG
RNAcentral lists this transfer RNA (132 nucleotides) under Anisakis simplex (herring worm). It matches the Rfam family "tRNA". Rfam says of the family: Transfer RNA (tRNA) molecules are approximately 80 nucleotides in length. Lineage: Eukaryota; Metazoa; Nematoda; Chromadorea; Rhabditida; Anisakidae. The record is from Rfam by way of RNAcentral.